RNAcentral lists this long non-coding RNA (199 nucleotides) under Elaeis guineensis (African oil palm). RNAcentral describes it as "long non-coding RNA (EGUI_LNC056244)". The record is from RNAcentral. Lineage: Eukaryota; Viridiplantae; Streptophyta; Magnoliopsida; Arecales; Arecaceae.
AUUAUUUAAUCUUUUUUUUUGCUGUAUAAAAUUUUUAAAAUUGCAUGCAUAGCACUACUGCAUAUUUUCUUUAUUGAAGAUCUGAGGUGUCCCAUGAUUACCAUGCUGAUCCGAGGUACUCACGGUAACCAUCGUAAUACUAUUCCCUAGUUUUGAGUUUGAGAAUCAGAUAAAAGGAGUAUUCUAAAAGUCAUACCUC